Molecule: ribosomal RNA, 253 nt
Filed under: uncultured Fervidicoccus sp.
Lineage: Archaea; Thermoproteati; Thermoproteota; Thermoprotei; Fervidicoccales; Fervidicoccaceae
Description: partial 16S ribosomal RNA
Rfam family: Archaeal small subunit ribosomal RNA
Source: RNAcentral
UACCAGCUCCUCGAGUGGUCGGGGCGAUUAUUGGGCCUAAAGCAUCCGUAGCCUGUUCCGUAGGUCUUCUGUAAAAUCCAGCCGCUUAACGGUUGAUCCGCAGAAGAUACCGCGGGACUAGGAGGCGGGAGAGGCGGGCGGUAUUCCGCGUGUAGGGGUAAAAUCCUUUGAUCCGCGGAGGACCACCAGUGGCGAAGGCGGCCCGCCAGAACGCGCUCGACGGUGAGGGAUGAAAGCUGGGGGAGCGAACCGG